RNAcentral lists this unclassified non-coding RNA (315 nucleotides) under uncultured Penicillium. RNAcentral describes it as "sequence contains ITS1". The stretch from base 1 to 105 matches the Rfam family "5.8S ribosomal RNA", at positions 50 to 154 of the family's 154-position model. The record is from RNAcentral. Lineage: Eukaryota; Fungi; Ascomycota; Eurotiomycetes; Eurotiales; Aspergillaceae.
GAAAUGCGAUAAGUAGUGUGAAUUGCAGAAUUCAGUGAAUCAUCGAGUCUUUGAACGCACAUUGCGCCCUCUGGUAUUCCGGAGGGCAUGCCUGUCCGAGCGUCAUUGCUGCCCUCAAGCACGGCUUGUGUGUUGGGCCCCCGCCCCCUGCUUCCAGGGGGCGGGCCCGAAAGGCAGCGGCGGCACCGCGUCCGGUCCUCGAGCGUAUGGGGCUUCGUCACCCGCUCUUGUAGGCCCGGCCGGCGCCCGCCGGCGACCCCCAAUCAAUCUUUUCAGGUUGACCUCGGAUCAGGUAGGGAUACCCGCUGAACUUAA